Molecule: ribosomal RNA, 323 nt
Filed under: uncultured bacterium
Lineage: Bacteria
Description: bacterial SSU rRNA
Rfam family: Bacterial small subunit ribosomal RNA
Source: RNAcentral
GAUGAACGCUGGCGGCGUGCUUAACACAUGCAAGUCGAACGGGACUUGUUAAGUUGAAACUUCGGUCGAUUCUUUUCAAGUCUAGUGGCGGACGGGUGAGUAACGCGUGGGUAACCUGCCUCACACUGGGGGAUAACAGUCAGAAAUGACUGCUAAUACCGCAUAAGCGCACAGCAUCGCAUGAUGCAGUGUGAAAAACUCCGGUGGUGUGAGAUGGACCCGCGUUGGAUUAGCUAGUUGGCAGGGCAGCGGCCUACCAAGGCGACGAUCCAUAGCCGGUCUGAGAGGAUGAACGGCCACAUUGGGACUGAGAUACGGCCCAG